UACGAAGGGGGCUAGCGUUGUUCGGAAUUACUGGGCGUAAAGCGCGCGUAGGCGGCGACCUUUGUCAGAGGUGAAAUCCCGAGGCUCAACUUCGGAAUUGCCUUUGAAACGGGGUUGCUAGAGUCCGAGAGAGGGUGGCGGAAUUCCUAGUGUAGAGGUGAAAUUCGUAGAUAUUAGGAAGAACACCAGUGGCGAAGGCGGCCACCUGGCUCGGUACUGACGCUCAGGCGCGAAAGCGUGGGGAGCAAACAGG
Molecule: ribosomal RNA, 253 nt
Filed under: uncultured bacterium
Lineage: Bacteria
Description: partial 16S ribosomal RNA
Rfam family: Bacterial small subunit ribosomal RNA
Source: RNAcentral